Molecule: ribosomal RNA, 497 nt
Filed under: uncultured bacterium
Lineage: Bacteria
Description: partial 16S ribosomal RNA
Rfam family: Bacterial small subunit ribosomal RNA
Source: RNAcentral
GAUGAACGCUGGCGGCGUGCCUAAUACAUGCAAGUCGAGCGAACGGACGAGAAGCUUGCUUUUCUGAUGUUAGCGGCGGACGGGUGAGUAACACGUGGAUAACCUACCUAUAAGACUGGGAUAACUUCGGGAAACCGGAGCUAAUACCGGAUAAUAUUUUGAACCGCAUGGUUCAAAAGUGAAAGACGGUCUUGCUGUCACUUAUAGAUGGAUCCGCGCUGCAUUAGCUAGUUGGUAAGGUAACGGCUUACCAAGGCAACGAUGCAUAGCCGACCUGAGAGGGUGAUCGGCCACACUGGAACUUGGACACGGUCCAGACUCCUACGGGAGGCAGCAGUAGGGAAUCUUCCGCAAUGGGCGAAAGCCUGACGGAGCAACGCCGCGUGAGUGAUGAAGGUCUUCGGAUCGUAAAACUCUGUUAUUAGGGAAGAACAUAUGUGUAAGUAACUGUGCACAUCUUGACGGUACCUAAUCAGAAAGCCACGGCUAACUACGUG